Molecule: transfer RNA, 90 nt
Filed under: Streptomyces lanatus
Lineage: Bacteria; Bacillati; Actinomycetota; Actinomycetes; Kitasatosporales; Streptomycetaceae
Description: tRNA-Gly
Source: RNAcentral
CGAUGGGCUGGGUGACGGCCUCGGCCACGCCGCUGCCGAAGGCGCGGAUCAGUUCUUCACGGCUCACGGUUCUUCUCCGUCUUCUUCGUC